UCCAAUGAUGGCAUGAAAUCUUUGAGACCUGAAUGAUUAAUUUGAUGUGUAUACUAUAAGCAUAAUCUCUGAGGAU
Molecule: small nucleolar RNA, 76 nt
Organism: Vicia villosa (hairy vetch)
Lineage: Eukaryota; Viridiplantae; Streptophyta; Magnoliopsida; Fabales; Fabaceae
Product: small nucleolar RNA R66
Exons: 1
Source: RefSeq, a predicted model, not a curated record